GAUUAACGCUAGCGGCAGGCCUAAUACAUGCAAGUUGAACGGGAUUGAUUGUAGCAAUACGGUCAUGAGAGUAGCGCACGGGUGCGUAACACGUAUGCAACCUACCUAUAACUGGGGAAUAGCCUCCCGAAAGGGAGAUUAAUACCGCAUAAUAUUAUUGAAUGGCAUCAUUUGAUAAUUAAAUCUCAGGGGGUUAUAGAUGGGCAUGCGUCCGAUUAGCUAGUUGGUGAGGUAAUGGCUCACCAAGGCUACGAUCGGUAGGGGGUCUGAGAGGAUGAUCCCCCACACUGGUACUGAGACACGGACCAGACUCCUACGGGAGGCAGCAGUAAGGAAUAUUGGACAAUGGGCGCAAGCCUGAUCCAGCCAUGCCGCGUGAAGGAUGAAGGCCCUAUGGGUCGUAAACUUCUUUUAAACGGGACGAAACCCCUCGACGUGUCGAGGGCUGACGGUACCGUAAGAAUAAGGGUCGGCUAACUUCGUGCCAGCAGCCGCAGUAA
This 500-nucleotide ribosomal RNA is filed under the name uncultured bacterium. RNAcentral's name for it is "partial 16S ribosomal RNA". It matches the Rfam family "Bacterial small subunit ribosomal RNA", at positions 28 to 523 of the family's 1533-position model. The record is from RNAcentral.